Molecule: long non-coding RNA, 472 nt
Organism: Glycine soja
Lineage: Eukaryota; Viridiplantae; Streptophyta; Magnoliopsida; Fabales; Fabaceae
Exons: 2
Source: RefSeq, a predicted model, not a curated record
CUCUGCCGAGUGUUUCCCUUAUCCUUCCUUAUCCCUUUGGUUAUUGUCUUAUCUCCUUUUUUUUUUUUUUUUUUUGUCUUAAGUUAGAGAUUUGAAGGCAUUUGGAAAUAUAUUGUGAAUGGAGAAUCCUAGUACAAGUUUCUAAUAUUCUUCUUCUACUUUCUCUUCUCCUCUAAGCUUCAACAAGGACUAAGGUUCAUUGAUGUUUUGGUUACAUUUGUAGUUAAAUCUGGUUAAAGCUUACAACUUUUUGAAGAUUUUCUUGAUGAGGUAAAGGGAGAUGAAAGCUCAAGUCCAUGAAGGCAUGGUAAACUUGUGCCAUUCCAUGUUUUGGUGAACCCUAGCAUUAGGAUUAGGCCUUUUCUCGAAUCCUCUUGUGAAAAAAGUGAAAAACAUGUUUUCUAUGACUCAGUUGUUGAGUGAUUUAUGCCUUGAAUACUUUAUAUAUGCUACUGUUUUAUUAUUAUUAUUA